CUACGGGGGGCUGCAGUGAGGAAUUUUGCGCAAUGGGGGAAACCCUGACGCAGCAACGCCGCGUGAGUGAUGAAGGCCCUCGGGUCGUAAAGCUCUGUCAAGUGGGAAGAAUCUAUCGAUAUUGAAUAGAUAUUGAUACUGACGGUACCACAAGAGGAAGCACCGGCUAACUCCGUGCCAGCAGCCGCGGUAAUACGGGGGGUGCAAGCGUUAUUCGGAAUCAUUGGGCGUAAAGGGCGCGCAGGCGGCCUUGUCAGUCAGAUGUGAAAGCCCGGGGCUCAACCCCGGAAGUGCAUUUGAAACUAUGAGGCUUGAGUAUGGGAGAGGGAAGUGGAAUUCCUGGUGUAGCGGUGGAAUGCGUAGAUAUCAGGAGGAACACCGGUGGCGAAGGCGACUUCCUGGACCAAUACUGACGCUGAGGCGCGAAGGCGUGGGGAGCAAACAGGAUUAGAUACCCUUGUAGUC
This 465-nucleotide ribosomal RNA is filed under the name uncultured bacterium. Its description in RNAcentral is "partial 16S ribosomal RNA". It matches the Rfam family "Bacterial small subunit ribosomal RNA", at positions 339 to 795 of the family's 1533-position model. The record is from RNAcentral.